CGGCACUUACGUCAAGUAAGGUAGCCGUCAUGGGGUGUCGGGGGUCGGAGGUUCAAAUCCUCUCGUGCCGACCA
Molecule: transfer RNA, 74 nt
Filed under: Enterobacter asburiae
Lineage: Bacteria; Pseudomonadati; Pseudomonadota; Gammaproteobacteria; Enterobacterales; Enterobacteriaceae
Also listed under: 7 other names
Description: tRNA-Leu
Source: RNAcentral